UUGAUAACCUUUUAUUUUGCAAUUGAAAACAAAACCACCCUUGGGUCCACCCUCACAAAGCUGGGCCAUUCUCUGCGGAGUUGGUGUCUAUACCUGCGCACCUUGCUUUUGUCCAGGCCCUGGGCAGGGUCACGGUUUGCGGGGUGGGGGAGGGGCAUCGCUGCGUUGAGUGGCCAGUGAGGACAGAGGGCGGUGUGACGAUGGUGACAGAUCACAAUGGGCAGCAGAAGGGUGGUUGGUUUAGGCGUCAUCGUGGAGGCUGGAGGAAGAAAUUUUUUCCAGAUCAGUAAAAGAGAAGCCAUGAUUGAUGUACACACCAUGGGAAUGGUGACUGUGGACCUCGUAUCUACCUGCUCCAGCCUGGCAACACCUGAUGUCAUGCUGCUGACCUGAGCAGAGGUGGCUAAGACACCCAGGGAAAAGGGCACAGGCCUAUAAAGACCUUAGAGGUAACUGGAUUGCCUCCAAUCGUGAGAACAACAGCUGCCCCUGACCUGCCACUGGCCAUUCUCCACCUUCAGCUGUGUCCCCUUUGGAUACAAAACAAGAUCUUUUUGCUCACUGGGAAAACCUUUUUUAGCCCCUAAGACCACUAACGGAAGCUUGCAUUUGUUCCUAGGCCAUCUUAUUGUGUCCCAGCUGAGGACACAAUGGACAUAUCUGCAUUUGAAGCAAAGCCCAGUGGCCAUGGAGAAGGGGACCACCACUAGUUCACCAUCAGGAGCCUUUUCAUGGUCCCUCAGGUGUUUGGGGCCACCUCCUCUUAUUACAUUGAAGGGGAAGGAAUGCAACAUGCCUCCUGCACGUGGUAUGUUCAUGGAAGCAUACUUUCUCUCUUCUGUUCUAAUCACAAUACCUCCACUGCCCAACAAAGGGUCAGUAGCAGUGGUAUCAAUAGGUAUGACAGCAGGUGCUAUGGACAUAGAAGUCACCAAAUCCACAGAUUCAGGGCACAUAAAUGCAGAAACAGCCUUCAUGGAUCGAAGAGGAACCAGUAUGUGCAUAGCAGGUGGACUCAGAGGGUCAUCAUGUAGUUGGAGCAGUGCUUGUAAGCAUGUCCUUGUCCUCAGGGGGUAUGUCCAGCAUGUCAGCAGAAGCUGCUGGUGUCUCCCCAGAGGGCAGCAAGUGUGAUGUUUGCAGGAGCAGAUGCAACCAGCAAGCCUGUUGUAGAAACAGGCCCAAUAGCAGGACCCCUUGUCUCAGCCUUGCAAAUAAAGGCUACACAAGUGAAUGGGAUGGAAGUCAGGAAGUCUCCAACCUAAGGUUGAUGCCCAGAGGGAGAGAAUAGAAAAGGACAGAACUCCCACAAGAAGUCACUGCCAUCAUCACAGGAUUGGAGAGAACGAGUCAACCAUAAGAACAUUCAUCUUCUGGUCCUUAGCCUGCCACUAGGACCACUAGGGGCGAAAAAAAGGAAAAAGCUAGAGGAACCAAGGAACCUGAGGACACAGGUCCUCCCCUUAGGAAAAUGCCAGCCCCAACAUUACGGCGAAGAGAAGUCUACGUUAUCUCAACAAUUGGAGAGGAGCCAAACUGUGACAAGUGUAGGGUCUUCAAGCAGAAAUGGCUCUUCAUGAAGCUCAGAGCCUGCCUUGCUGCACAUGGUAGAGAGGUGGGAUGAAGUCUAAGAUAGUGGAAAAGGGGAGCAUGGAGGCUACCACGUAGUCAGCAGAAUGUGGCAGGAGCUAGGGAUCCCUGGGACCAUAUCUGAGACCAACAGGACAAUAACUUUGAAGCCCAUCAAAAAAGGAAUCACAGCAUGGAGGCCAAGGUGUUUCUAGGUUAGCUGGCCUUCAUUUAAGUAAAUACACAUAAAUGAAUAAAAUACAUUCUAAGAAUGAGAAAAGAAAGCAUAAAGCACAAUCCAAAGGCACAUGUCUUUUCAUCAUGAAAUUCACACAUAUGUAUUGGUGAGGUUUGUCCCAUGGAGGCAAAGGAAGAAUCAAAAGCACCCACACUCAAUGGACCUGUGUGGGCCAGCAGAAGAGUGUCUUAGCUUCCUACCUUUUCUCCAGAAUGCACACAUUUCAUUCUUGAGCCUAGUGGGUCUAGUGGGUGUAAGAAUCACCCAAGGUGCUUUUCUGCAAUGCCGAUUCUUGGCCCUGGACAAACUGAACCAGGAUCUCACAGAGUGGGACCAUCUUAGGUGAUUCUGAUGGAGGUGACCCAAGAUCUGGACUCAGGUGCCUAACACUGGUACAUGGUCCAAUUUCAAAAUGGGCCUCAAGAGUCAGCAAGUAGGCCCUGCACAUUUUCAUGUAAAUGUGCUCAUUUUUUUGGACUAUGCACUAGUUCAUUUUCAUCACACCUACUGUAGACAUUUAUUCAUUAACCAAUAUUACAGUAAGAGUUUACUAUGCGCCAGGCACUGUUUUAGGUGCUCUACAAGUCGAGCCUUUCAAUUUCUUGAAAAUCUGGUUUUUACAGUGCUAAAUAUAGACUUGCCUUAUUAUCCUCUUUAGCUGCUGCCUAGACUGUCAUUAUACGGUGAGUGACAUAUGAAUGUUCCUUCUAAGAGGGAGGGCAUGGGAAGAAAAAGAGGGACAAUGGCCCUCUUUAUCCUUACCCUUCUGCAAAGUAUAGGACAUUCACUGGCUUGCCAAAGCUUUAUAAUGUUGCUGAAAAUAUAAAUAAGUAUGCCAUGAAAUAUGUAAUGGGGUAGAGGUUGUGAAGCAGUAAAUACAUAGUACAUUAAAAAAUUACAAAUCUUUCUAUUUUGAGAUAAUAUCUAAAUUGAGAAACAGAUAACUAUCUUCUCCCCACCCCUUAAUCAGUAAUCAUAUCCACAGUAACAUAUUGCAAGACUUGAAAACUAGGUUGUAGGAGUAGAACAGCAUACAUAUUUCAGGAAAAGAAAUGAAAUGCUGUAUUGCCUUAAGAUACCAAAUAAUUGCUUCUUUCUCAGUAUUUAUCUAGUCUCAGCCUUUUGUAGUAUAUAGAAGUAAAAAAAAAAAGUCUUUUAGCAAAUUAUAGUCACCUUUGGAAUAUUCUUUUGCUCUUGUUUUGAACACCAAGGAAAUGAGAGGUCCACCAUGUUGACAUGUGUGCUUUAGGCCUAGAUUUAACGCCUGGUAUUUAUGUGCUGACUUGACAUCUGCUGAAAUCAGGAGGGCCUUGAAUGUUCUAACCACUAUCCCCCCCUCCCCCGCAACCGUGCUUCUGUGGAUAAGGUUCCCUAGCUGAAUAAGCUUUCUUAUCAAAGGAACGAAGCACUUCCUGCUUUUCCUGGAGUAUAGGGUGUCAGUUCCCUGCUAGCUUUCAGAAUUGUUCAGACAAGCCAAUCACAUCCUCCAGGGAAACAGCAGACAUCCCACCCUCUUGAUACUAUAGAGCUUGCCUCUGACAGCUCUUGGUUGUUGAGUGCAACCCUGCUUGGCAUACUGUGUCCCUCUCCCCUGGGCAGUGAGUAUUUCUGACUAAUAAACUGCUGUUGAUUUUG
Microcebus murinus (gray mouse lemur) is the source of this 3439-nucleotide non-coding RNA. The record is from RefSeq and is a predicted model, not a curated record. Lineage: Eukaryota; Metazoa; Chordata; Mammalia; Primates; Cheirogaleidae.